GCUCUGUCGGAGGUCAUGCUAUGAUCAGA
This 29-nucleotide non-coding RNA is filed under the name Rattus norvegicus (Norway rat). The record is from RNAcentral. Lineage: Eukaryota; Metazoa; Chordata; Mammalia; Rodentia; Muridae.